RNAcentral lists this ribosomal RNA (467 nucleotides) under uncultured bacterium. Its description in RNAcentral is "partial 16S ribosomal RNA". It matches the Rfam family "Bacterial small subunit ribosomal RNA", at positions 28 to 507 of the family's 1533-position model. The record is from RNAcentral.
GACGAACGCUGGCGGCGUGCUUAACACAUGCAAGUCGAACGGAAAGGCCCUGCUUUUGUGGGGUGCUCGAGUGGCGAACGGGUGAGUAACACGUGAGUAACCUGCCCUUGACUUUGGGAUAACUUCAGGAAACUGGGGCUAAUACCGGAUAGGAGCUCCUGCUGCAUGGUGGGGGUUGGAAAGUUUCGGCGGUUGGGGAUGGACUCGCGGCUUAUCAGCUUGUUGGUGGGGUAGUGGCUUACCAAGGCUUUGACGGGUAGCCGGCCUGAGAGGGUGACCGGUACAAUGGGAACUGGGAAACGGCCAGACUCCUACGGGAGGCAGCAGUGGGGAAUAUUGCACAAUGGGCGGAAGCCUGAUGCAGCAACGCCGCGUGCGGGAUGACGGCCUUCGGGUUGUAAACCGCUUUCGCCUGUGACGAAGCGUGAGUGACGGUAAUGGGUAAAGAAGCACCGGCUAACUACGUG